RNAcentral lists this ribosomal RNA (308 nucleotides) under Rhodanobacter sp. MP7CTX1. Its description in RNAcentral is "Bacterial small subunit ribosomal RNA". It matches the Rfam family "Bacterial small subunit ribosomal RNA", at positions 1 to 305 of the family's 1533-position model. Lineage: Bacteria; Pseudomonadati; Pseudomonadota; Gammaproteobacteria; Lysobacterales; Rhodanobacteraceae. The record is from Rfam by way of RNAcentral.
UAAGUGAAGAGUUUGAUCCUGGCUCAGAUUGAACGCUGGCGGCAUGCCUAACACAUGCAAGUCGAACGGCAGCACAGCAGUAGCAAUACUGUGGGUGGCGAGUGGCGGACGGGUGAGUAAUGCAUCGGGACCUACCUGAACGUGGGGGAUAACGUAGGGAAACUUACGCUAAUACCGCAUACGUCCUACGGGAGAAAGCGGGGGAUCUUCGGACCUCGCGCGGUCAGACGGACCGAUGUUCGAUUAGCUAGUUGGUAGGGUAAUGGCCUACCAAGGCGACGAUCGAUAGCUGGUCUGAGAGGAUGAUC